This 491-nucleotide ribosomal RNA is filed under the name uncultured bacterium. RNAcentral's name for it is "partial 16S ribosomal RNA". It matches the Rfam family "Bacterial small subunit ribosomal RNA", at positions 28 to 507 of the family's 1533-position model. The record is from RNAcentral.
GAUGAACGCUGGCUACAGGCUUAACACAUGCAAGUCGAGGGGAAACGACGGGGAAGCUUGCUUCCCCGGGCGUCGACCGGCGCACGGGUGAGUAACGCGUAUCCAACCUGCCUCUGACUGAGGGAUAACCCGUCGAAAGUCGGCCUAAUACCUCAUGGCAUCGUCUGCGGGCAUCCAACGACGAUUAAAGAUUUCAUCGGUCAGAGAUGGGGAUGCGUCUGAUUAGCUUGUUGGCGGGGUAACGGCCCACCAAGGCGACGAUCAGUAGGGGUUCUGAGAGGAAGGUCCCCCACAUUGGAACUGAGACACGGUCCAAAAUCCUACCGGAGGCAGCAGUGAGGAAUAUUGGUCAAUGGGCGAGAGCCUGAACCAGCCAAGUAGCGUGCAGGAUGACGGCCCUAUGGGUUGUAAACUGCUUUUAUGCGGGGAUAAAGUGAGGGACGUGUCCUUCAUUGCAGGUACCGCAUGAAUAAGGACCGGCUAAUUCCGUG